CCACCCUGAACACACCUGAUCUCGUCUGAUCUCUGAAGCUAAGCAGGGCUGGGCCUGGUUAGUACUUGGAUGGGAGACC
RNAcentral lists this ribosomal RNA (79 nucleotides) under Ailuropoda melanoleuca (giant panda). The record is from RNAcentral. Lineage: Eukaryota; Metazoa; Chordata; Mammalia; Carnivora; Ursidae.